Molecule: long non-coding RNA, 1401 nt
Filed under: Triticum aestivum (bread wheat)
Lineage: Eukaryota; Viridiplantae; Streptophyta; Magnoliopsida; Poales; Poaceae
Description: long non-coding RNA (TAES_LNC009073)
Source: RNAcentral
UAUUCUUUUAUUAGCAUACAAUUAAUCAGUGUUGCACACUGAUGGCAGGAAUUCUACUAUACAAGAUUAUAUCAAGGGGAAAGGAUAAGGGAGAAUGGGACUCUAUGAAGAAAGAACAAGAAGGUGUCCCUGAAAAAUAAGCAGCUGGAGAACAACAAGCUUAUUGUUGACUUUCUACAGAAAAUGUCGUAACACCUGAGAAAAUUGCUGGUGAGAACAUCACACAUGUUCUUAUAGUUUUUAAAUGAAAAACUUUUAUGUUUAUCUCUUUUUUUACUAGAAUAGUAGAUAAUGGGGCAUAGAUAUUUGAGAAGGCUUAGUGCAAUUAAUCCCUUUAUCUUGCAGUACUUUACACAUGGGUUCCAUUAUCAAAAUAGGAGAGCCUAGCAGUACAAAAUCGAGGCUCUGUACUAUAUUGUUGGCCAAAGGUUAUACAUAUGUACCUGUACUGAUUUAUUUAUAUUUGUAGCAUUUGAGAUGGUUGGCUUGUCAAUGCUACAAAUCGGUAUUUCUACUUCUAGAGAAAUGUAUGUUCGUUUUCCGAAUAACUGCUAUUGACCUUACAUGAUUCUUUUAAGUCAUACUAAUUUGGAUUUGUUAUGACAUACACUUGAACAUUUAUAGUAGAGAUAUCUGACUUUGUCUGUUGGAAAUUGAUAUCAAACAACAUGGAUAGUGCUAUUGUUCCUUUGCAUAAGCCAAAUUAGUCCUGACUAUUAUAGACGGCCAUUCCUUAUAGCACUAGGCAAAAUGAAUGUGGUUACUCACUGUUUCAGAUGAGUUUGUCAAUAAUUUGGCAAUGUGGUGUCGAAGUCUUUGCCCAUGAGGUUACACCUUCAAGGGUGACAUUGAAGAAGCAUUCAGAUGCACAGACAUAACAGAAGAUCAACUUGCACGUACAAGUUGUAUUGCAGACGAUGGGGCCAUGCGGUUGAAUGUGUCUGGUCAAGUUGAGCAAGAAGCAUGAUAUCAUUAACGAGAUGUUCACAAAAUUUCUUCAAAGUUUAUUUGAUGGUGUGGCAUAUUUUUUUCUGGUUAAGUUUUCUGUAUAUUUCUAUAUUUGUUUGUACAAACUGGAAGCUACAGAUGAACUUCAUAUAUACUCUUCCAACUUCGUUCAAUAAGAUCAAAGUAUGCAAUAUGUUUUUGAAUAGUAUAUGUACUAUAUGUUUCUGAAUAGUAUAUGUAUGUUCAACAGUAUUCAAAUUCUUUCUUUUCAGAGGGAAAUAAUCUUUUCGAUGGUAAAUAUAUUCCAAAGCAAUAUAACUAUCAUUGGAUUCACUAAUUCAUGCAUUAUCGAUAGUGGUAGAGGCAGAGAAAAUGUUGUCAGAUUAGAAGAGUGUAGGUUGUUCUAUGGUGAUGGGUACGACUGUGGCGUGGAGCCUUGAGGUCUUACAUGCC